UGGGGUAUAGCUCAGUGGUAGAGUGCAUGCCUAGCAUGCACAAGGUCCUGGAUUCAAUCCCCAGCACUUCCA
This 72-nucleotide transfer RNA is filed under the name Camelus bactrianus (Bactrian camel). It matches the Rfam family "tRNA". Rfam says of the family: Transfer RNA (tRNA) molecules are approximately 80 nucleotides in length. Their secondary structure includes four short double-helical elements and three loops (D, anti-codon, and T loops). The record is from Rfam by way of RNAcentral. Lineage: Eukaryota; Metazoa; Chordata; Mammalia; Artiodactyla; Camelidae. RNAcentral also lists the same sequence under 2 other names.